RNAcentral lists this ribosomal RNA (253 nucleotides) under uncultured bacterium. Its description in RNAcentral is "partial 16S ribosomal RNA". It matches the Rfam family "Bacterial small subunit ribosomal RNA", at positions 524 to 776 of the family's 1533-position model. The record is from RNAcentral.
UACGUAGGGGUCGAGCGUUGUCCGGAGUUACUGGGCGUAAAGCGUGCGCAGGCGGCUCAUUGCGCCCGGCGUGAAAGCCCCCGGCUCAACCGGGGAGGGUCGUCGGGGACGGGUGAGCUUGAGGGUAUCAGGGGUUGGUGGAAUUCCCGGUGUAGUGGUGAAAUGCGCAGAUAUCAGGAGGAACACCGGUGGCGAAGGCGGAUCUCUGGGCCGUAACUGACGCUGAGGAGCGAAAGCAUGGGGAGCGAACAGG